GAUGAACGCUGGCGGCGUGCCUAAUACAUGCAAGUCGAGCGAACAGACGAGGAGCUUGCUCCUCUGACGUUAGCGGCGGACGGGUGAGUAACACGUGGAUAACCUACCUAUAAGACUGGGAUAACUUCGGGAAACCGGAGCUAAUACCGGAUAAUAUAUUGAACCGCAUGGUUCAAUAGUGAAAGACGGUUUUGCUGUCACUUAUAGAUGGAUCCGCGCCGCAUUAGCUAGUUGGUAAGGUAACGGCUUACCAAGGCAACGAUGCGUAGCCGACCUGAGAGGGUGAGCGGCACCACUGGAACUGGGACACGGUCCAGACUCCUACGGGAGGCAGCAGUAGGGAAUCUUCCGCAAUGGGCGAAAGCCUGACGGAGCAACGCCGCGUGAGUGAUGAAGGUCUUCGGAUCGUAAAACUCUGUUAUUAGGGAAGAACAAAUGUGUAAGUAACUAUGCACGUCUUGACGGUACCUAAUCAGAAAGCCACGGCUAACUACGUG
This 497-nucleotide ribosomal RNA is filed under the name uncultured bacterium. RNAcentral describes it as "partial 16S ribosomal RNA". It matches the Rfam family "Bacterial small subunit ribosomal RNA", at positions 28 to 507 of the family's 1533-position model. The record is from RNAcentral.